AGAGUUUGAUCCUGGCUCAGAGCGAACGCUGGCGGCAGGCUUAACACAUGCAAGUCGAGCGGGCGUAGCAAUACGUCAGCGGCAGACGGGUGAGUAACGCGUGGGAACAUACCUUUUGGUUCGGAACAACACAGGGAAACUUGUGCUAAUACCGGAUAAGCCCUUACGGGGAAAGAUUUAUCGCCGAAAGAUUGGCCCGCGUCUGAUUAGCUAGUUGGUGAGGUAACGGCUCACCAAGGCGACGAUCAGUAGCUGGUCUGAGAGGAUGAUCAGCCACAUUGGGACUGAGACACGGCCCAAACUCCUACGGGAGGCAGCAGUGGGGAAUAUUGGACAAUGGGCGCAAGCCUGAUCCAGCCAUGCCGCGUGAGUGAUGAAGGCCCUAGGGUUGUAAAGCUCUUUUGUGCGGGAAGAUAAUGACGGUACCGCAAGAAUAAGCCCCGGCUAACUUCGUGCCAGCAGCCGCGGUAAUACGAAGGGGGCUAGCGUUGCUCGGAAUCACUGGGCGUAAAGGGUGCGUAGGCGGGUCUUUAAGUCAGGGGUGAAAUCCUGGAGCUCAACUCCAGAACUGCCUUUGAUACUGAGGAUCUUGAGUUCGGGAGAGGUGAGUGGAACUGCGAGUGUAGAGGUGAAAUUCGUAGAUAUUCGCAAGAACACCAGUGGCGAAGGCGGCUCACUGGCCCGAUACUGACGCUGAGGCACGAAAGCGUGGGGAGCAAACAGGAUUAGAUACCCUAGUAGUCC
RNAcentral lists this ribosomal RNA (744 nucleotides) under uncultured bacterium. RNAcentral's name for it is "bacterial SSU rRNA". It matches the Rfam family "Bacterial small subunit ribosomal RNA", at positions 8 to 796 of the family's 1533-position model. The record is from RNAcentral.